AGAGUUUGAUCAUGGCUCAGAACGAACGCUGGCGGCGUGCCUAACGCAUGUAAGUCGAACGCAGAACCUUCGGGUCCUGAGUGGCGAACGGCUGAGGAACACGUACGAACCUGCCCGCUUGUGGGGAAUAACGCACCGAAAGGUGUGCUAAUACCGCGUACGCUCACAUGUGAAUGUGAGGAAAGUCGCAAGACGCUGGCGGAGGGGCGUGCGGCCCAUCAGGUUGUUGGUGGGGUAAGAGCCUACCAAGCCGACGACGGGUAGCUGGUCUGUGAGGACGAUCAGCCAGACUGGGACUGCGAAACGGCCCAGACACCUACGGGUGGCAGCAGCGAGGAAUCUUCCACAAUGGGCGAAAGCCCGAUGGAGCAACGCCGCGUGGAGGACGACGGCCUUCGGGUUGUAAACUCCUUUCAGAGGGGAUGAAACGGACAGUACCCUCAGAAGAAGCCCCGGCUAACUCUGUGCCAGCAGCCGCGGUAAUACAGAGGGGGCAAGCGUUGUCCGGAAUUACUGGGCGUACAGCGCGCGCAGGCGGACCGCGACGUGCCGUGUGACAAGCCACUGCUCACCAGUGGAGGGGCAUGGUACACGAGCGGUCUGGAGGCAGGGAGAGGGAUGUGGAAUGCCCGGUGGAGCGGUGAAAUGCGUAGAGAUCGGGCGGAACACCGCGGCGAAGGCGGCAUCCUGGUCCUCUGACGCUGAGGCGCGAGAGCGUGGGGAGCAAACUGGAUUAGAUACCCUAGUAGUCC
Molecule: ribosomal RNA, 752 nt
Filed under: uncultured bacterium
Lineage: Bacteria
Description: bacterial SSU rRNA
Rfam family: Bacterial small subunit ribosomal RNA
Source: RNAcentral